Molecule: ribosomal RNA, 253 nt
Filed under: uncultured bacterium
Lineage: Bacteria
Description: partial 16S ribosomal RNA
Rfam family: Bacterial small subunit ribosomal RNA
Source: RNAcentral
UACGUAGGUGGCGAGCGUUGUCCGGAUUUACUGGGCGUAAAGGGCGUGCAGGCGGUUUGUUAAGUGCAGGGUGAAAGCUCCCGGCUCAACUGGGAGAGGUCCUUGCAUACUGGCGAACUCGAGGGAGGCAGAGGAAAGUGGAAUUCCCGGUGUAGUGGUGAUAUGCGUAGAUAUCGGGAGGAACACCUGUGGCGAAGGCGGCUUUCUGGGCCGACACUGACGCUGAGGCGCGAAAGCCAGGGGAGCGAACGGG